Molecule: ribosomal RNA, 116 nt
Filed under: Bacillus mycoides
Lineage: Bacteria; Bacillati; Bacillota; Bacilli; Caryophanales; Bacillaceae
Also listed under: 1 other name
Source: RNAcentral
UCUGGUAAUGAUGGCAGAGAGGUCACACCCGUUCCCAUACCGAACACGGAAGUUAAGCUCUCUAGCGCCGAUCGUAGUUGGGACCUUGUCCCUGUGAGAGUAGGACGUUGCCAGGC